Molecule: ribosomal RNA, 301 nt
Filed under: uncultured bacterium
Lineage: Bacteria
Description: partial 16S ribosomal RNA
Rfam family: Bacterial small subunit ribosomal RNA
Source: RNAcentral
CAGUCGCCACGGGAAUACGGAGGGUGCAAGCGUUAAUCGGAAUUACUGGGCGUAAAGCGCACGCAGGCGGUUUGUUAAGUCAGAUGUGAAAUCCCCGGGCUUAACCUGGGAACUGCAUUUGAAACUGGCAGGCUAGAGUCUUGUAGAGGGGGGUAGAAUUCCAGGUGUAGCGGUGAAAUGCGUAGAGAUCUGGAGGAAUACCGGUGGCGAAGGCGGCCCCCUGGACAAAGACUGACGCUCAGGUGCGAAAGCGUGGGGAGCAAACAGGAUUAGAUACCCCGGUAGUCCCUGUCUCUUAUAC